CGGAGAACUUCGAAGUGAGCACAUAUUUCAGCUAGGGUAGAGUGUUCAUAUAAAAACAAGAUGGUUAGAAGUACACAAAAAUCUAUCGUAAUUUUAUUAAAUUUCUCCCAAUUUUUCGUCGGUUUUCAACCUUACUGGUGGAGGGGGGGAGGGGUGACACUAGCCAUGGACACCGGAUAUUUGUCUAAAGAGAUAAAGAUUAGAAAUAUUAUAAUACUUGUACUAGAGAUGUCAUUAUUAUCGUUGUAUCAAUAUAGGAUGGAGGCAGAGUAGGAUAUAAAUAAUAAUGGGUGUAAAAAAAAAAAAAAAUUCAUUACGAUUGGUAAAUCGUGAAUUUUGUUUGUCACGAGUAUUUUUCUGACUCAAAUUUUCGAUUUUUUUUGAUUUCGGUCAUAUUUCAGAUGUUGAACAUGUCUUGUUGGUUGACUGUGGCGUAUGUGACAGUUGCCGGAGCU
Cinara cedri is the source of this 455-nucleotide non-coding RNA. The record is from the annotation of a GenBank genome assembly. NCBI's taxonomy places the organism in Eukaryota, Metazoa, Arthropoda, Insecta, Hemiptera, Aphididae.